AUUGAACGCUGGCGGCAUGCCUUACACAUGCAAGUCGAACGGCAGCACGGGAGCAAUCCUGGUGGCGAGUGGCGAACGGGUGAGUAAUAUAUCGGAACGUGCCCAGUCGUGGGGAUAACGUAGCGAAAGCUACGCUAAUACCGCAUACGAUCUAUGGAUGAAAGCGGGGGAUCGCAAGACCUCGCGCGAUUGGAGCGGCCGAUAUCAGAUUAGGUAGUUGGUGAGGUAAAGGCUCACCAAGCCGACGAUCUGUAGCUGGUCUGAGAGGACGACCAGCCACACUGGGACUGAGACACGGCCCAGACUCCUACGGGAGGCAGCAGUGGGGAAUUUUGGACAAUGGGCGCAAGCCUGAUCCAGCAAUGCCGCGUGCAGGAUGAAGGCCUUCGGUUGUAACUAGCUUUGUUACGGAACGAAACGGUACGGAG
RNAcentral lists this ribosomal RNA (428 nucleotides) under uncultured bacterium. Its description in RNAcentral is "bacterial SSU rRNA". It matches the Rfam family "Bacterial small subunit ribosomal RNA", at positions 30 to 460 of the family's 1533-position model. The record is from RNAcentral.